Molecule: ribosomal RNA, 371 nt
Filed under: uncultured Bacteroidota bacterium
Lineage: Bacteria; Pseudomonadati; Bacteroidota
Description: bacterial SSU rRNA
Rfam family: Bacterial small subunit ribosomal RNA
Source: RNAcentral
GGCGCACGGGUGCGUAACGCGUAUGCAACCUACCUUCUACAAGAGGAUAGCCCAGAGAAAUUUGGAUUAAUACUCUAUACGAUCAUUAAUUGGCAUCAAUUUAUGAAGAAAACUCCGGUGGUAGAAGAUGGGCAUGCGUCCUAUUAGUUAGUUGGUAAGGUAAUGGCUUACCAAGACUUCGAUAGGUAGGGGUCCUGAGAGGGAGAUCCCCCACACUGGUACUGAGACACGGACCAGACUCCUACGGGAGGCAGCAGUGAGGAAUAUUGGACAAUGGAGGCAACUCUGAUCCAGCCAUGCCGCGUGCAGGAAGACGGCCCUACGGGUUGUAAACUGCUUUUAAUAGGAAGAAUUAUACCUACGUGUAGGUA